GAGAGAGAGAGAGAGAGAGAGAGAGAAUGAAUUUCUUGUAGAAGUAUUGGGAUUCCAGAUGUGAGCCACUGCAUCUAGUUUUUUGUGAGUCCCAGGGACUGAAUUCAGGUUCAUGUGUGAGCAUGUUCUAUAAAAUACUUUUACCUACUUAACUAUCUCACCAGUUAACUACUCUGUGUGGUAGUUUGAAUGUAUUUGCCUCCUCCUCCCAUAAGCUUAUAGGGAGUGGCACUAUUAGGAGGUGUGACGUUGGAGCUAGUGUGGUCUUGUUGGAGGAGGCUGGAUGACAACAGGCUUUUAAUCCAGACCUUGAGGCUGGAAAGAACACCUUUAAUCUGGGCCACACCUUCUUUUGGAAGUAUCUCACUAUGGGUGCCGGUUUUGAGGUUUCCCAUACUCAGGAUACCCCCCAGCGAGCCAGUUGACUUCCUGUUACCUGCAAGAUGUAGGACAUUUGGCUAUUUCUCCAGCACCAAGCCUGCCUGCCUUCCUGCCUGCUGCCAUGAUCCCCAUAAUGACUACUGAACUGACCUGCUAGAGCUUGUGAAGGGACUGGGCCUGUGGAUCUCCAAGACUCGUGGCAGCCACAGGAUAUUCCAGAGGAGUUCCAGUGAGGAUCCAGUGGAGAUGGUGUACCAGAAACAAGAAGCCUUGAACCAGACCAGUGACUCAUUGCAAAGAUAGUUUUCCAGUAAGAUUGACAGGACAAAGAGGUAUGCUAUAUGGCACACUGAAGCCUCCAUUGCCACCAGGACCAAUGAAGAGGUGUUAGAGAGGCAGGAAAGAAGAGAAUGUUCCAUGAUAUUUCCUUUUCUGUUCACCUGGGUCUCCAGGGCUGCUUGGUUACCUGGACAGUGCAGCAACAAGCGUGGAAGUGCAAGCAUCUCUGUGCCACUUGACUUGGAGUGACCAGUGCGGUGGCUGGGUCAUGUGGAAGCUCUCCAUUUAGUUUUGAAGAACUUCCAUGCUGAUGUCCAUAGUGGCUGCACAAGUUUGCAUUCAUUGUCUAACCAUUUCUUUUCCUCCAAUUCUCUCCAGUAGUUGUUGUCCUUUUUAUUUUUAUUUUGUUGUUGUUUGUUUUGAGACAUCUAUAACCUGGGAUGGACUGGCAUUUACUAUGUAGGUCCGGCUGACCUUGAACUCAUAUUCUUCUUGCCUCAGCCCUUCAAGUCCUGUGAUCAUAGCAUGGAUGCAACAAUACCCAUCACCUGUUUCCUCAAUGCGGUCUAUUCUGAAGGGAGUGAGAUACAUGCUUUAUGUACCAACCCCACAUCUGAUGGGUAUCUGUAGAGAGAUGCCCUCCUGGCCAUUUUCUAGGCUGAUGAUUGUUGUUAUCUUUGCUGUACAGAAGAGUCUUAAGUCUGUGCUACUGUGUACUUGACCCUGUGACUCCCAUCAGCCCUUGCUAAAGGCACUCCCGGCCUCCUUUGCAGGUGUACUGGAUAGGCUCCAGUGGUCAGAGACAGACCUCGGGAAGGAGGCACACUGCUUGCAGAUGAAAGCCACUGUGAGAGAGUGUGCUUUUGAGCUUCAUGUGAGCCUUUCAAGGUGUCUUUUCACUGGUGCUUCCAGACGGUGACCCAUUGUUUCAAUUUCUUUUUUAGAAAAAACAAAACAAAACCCCUCCCAACUUUCCAAAAGAAGGUUAAUGGGAUAAGGCACAUCUCCACUGCUUCAGGUCAAAGCUUUAUCUUCACUAUUCAACUCUCUUCAGCUUUGACCAGAAAUUGUUUUUCUCAUACAAUUCUUUUUUUGCUGAGAUACAUUCUAUACACCUUAGGGUGCCUCCCUACCUUUCCUUUUUGCAGUACUCGGGGUUGGUCCUGGGCCUCACAUGUGCCACUGAACCUCUUUCACUUAUUGAAAGUGUAUGCAGAGUUCCUACCCUACUACCCACUCCUGCAACCACCAAUUUACUCUCUCUGUCUAUCCUCUUAGUGUUGAGGAUUGAACCCAGGGCGUUUCACAUGUUACAUGAAUACUGUACCACUGAGUGGUAGUUAUUCUUUGUGGAUUUUUCUAUUUUGACAGUUCAUAUACCCAGAAUCAUAGGACGUAUGGCCUUUCCCAUCUGAUGCCUUACAUCCAGCUGAGGGUUUCCUUGACUCGUCUGUGUCAUGGCAUAUACUGCUACUCCAUUCUGUUUUAUAGUAGAAUUAUCCUAUAGAAUCACAAUACCAUUUUAUUAACCCUUAAAGAUGGAUAUUGGGGUUGCUUUACUUUUUUUUGUUAUCAUGAACAACAGACAUUUGGUUGCUGUGAGCAUUUAGGUGCGGUGUGUGUGUGUGUGUGUGUGUGUGUGUGU
Cricetulus griseus (Chinese hamster) is the source of this 2305-nucleotide non-coding RNA. NCBI's taxonomy places the organism in Eukaryota, Metazoa, Chordata, Mammalia, Rodentia, Cricetidae. The record is from RefSeq and is a predicted model, not a curated record.